Long non-coding RNA from Helianthus annuus (common sunflower), 1430 nucleotides. RefSeq lists it as uncharacterized. The transcript has 3 exons. Lineage: Eukaryota; Viridiplantae; Streptophyta; Magnoliopsida; Asterales; Asteraceae. The record is from RefSeq and is a predicted model, not a curated record.
AAAUUUUAUGUGACCAAAUAAUAUAGAAUAGCCACACGUAUGUAUCUAAACUUUUAAUAAUUUUCAUAACUAUUCCCACCUCUUACCAGUUCCUGGUUCCAAUUCGAGAAGAUCAGAUCGACUAUGUGAAUCCCUUUUAUCUAUGUGAUUAGCGUUAGUUUCUCAAACAUGUAUGUGUCAUUUUCUAUUCCCUCCGUACCAGAGAUGAGUUCGGCUUCCAAAUUGUUCGAUUAUAAGAGUUUUAGAUCUGCAGAAUUGAGUUCGAGUGAAGCAAAUCUGAGGUGAAUUUCCGGUGAUCCUGCCUCGUAUUGCGACCAGAAAAGGCACCACACUGAGGACAGUGAUGUUAACUCUUUUAGGGACUCAAGUAGUGAUGUAAGCAGUGAUUACAACCUCCCAAAGAGUGAAUUUUUUCAGUGGUUGGAUCAGUUGUCGUUAAAUUACCAACACGUCCUUCAAGAAGGCUUCUCUAGUGAUGAGGGUGAAUCAGUAAGACUACAAAGUUGUCUUUCAUUUGAGUAUUUGGAGUGUAAUCAACCUUGGGGUCGGGAACCUUUGAUUGAUUAGGUUUGUUAUAAAAAAGUGUCUAAUAAAGUUCUGUUAUGUGAUUUUUCUGAUUUAUAUUAAUUCUACACUAAUCUGUUGCAUAGAUACUUGAUCUUGUGCGUCGCUUCAUAGACUUGAAAAGCGUGAAAAGUUGUGACUUGUUUUCUUCUAGUUGGUUAUCUGUGGCUUGGUACAAUCUUUGUGACAUCUGUUAUUUUAUGUUUUUUUUAUUGUAUUCACGACAUAUUAUUUUGAUGAUUAAAUAGGUACCCAAUUUAUAGGAGUCCAAUGGGACCAACAUUGAAAGAUCUUAAUGCUGUUUUUUACCUUUCAUUCUCUUCAUACACCAAUCACAGGCUAUGGAUAUUUUCACAACCUCUUCGGCUAAGAGCAUUCGGUUGAAGGUGGCUGGGUUUGGCGGGGCGAAACGGACCUGCAGAAGUAUCAUUGGAACAACUGGGUCACUCGUAAAGUGAACUACCUAACAUGGAGGGCUGUGUUGGGGACGGGGUGUAUCGCUACUAAAGAAGCUUUGACGUGAAGAGGUUUGGCUUUAGAUAACACUCUUUGCGGCAGGUGUGAGCUGGUAAUUGAAGAUGUGAAUCACAUUUUUGUCGAUUGUUUAUCGGCUAGAAGUGUGUGGUGGCAAAUCUGUAGAUGGACUAAGGAUCAACCACAUUAUUUGUCACCUAUAUUAUAUAUUUAUAUCGAGUGGAAUUGCUUAAUGUUUUACUUGCUUCGUAAAAGUUGCAGUAUAAGCUUUUUCACUAGUAUAAGAAUGUUUUCACUAAUAAAAGAUAAAUUAUCAGCAUUCAUUUGUUAAGAUAUAUUUAUACAUAUGAUAGUUUAAGUGAGAAAUAAAUAUAUCAAUGUUAAAGUUUGUU